CGGUCUAUUGCCAGAAGACAAGCGGUUGCAACUUAAAGACUACUUUAUCAAGCAGAUUAGGGCGUACAUGGAUGGUAAAAUACCGGUUGCCACUGUCUCUAAUGAGUCAAGCGCUUCAAGUAAUACAGUUAAACCAGUUGCAAGUGCAUGGAAACGUAAUAAAUAUGGUACUUACUACAUGGAAGAAAGUGCUAGAUUCACAAACGGCAAUCAACCAAUCACAGUAAGAAAAGUGGGGCCAUUCUUAUCUUGUCC
The sequence is a small RNA, 255 nucleotides long. It matches the Rfam family "Staphylococcus sRNA 808". From Rfam's summary of the family: Other name: Srn9345. Highly expressed under all conditions tested. The record is from Rfam.